This 76-nucleotide transfer RNA is filed under the name Moritella sp. 5. RNAcentral's name for it is "tRNA-Gly". It matches the Rfam family "tRNA". From Rfam's summary of the family: Transfer RNA (tRNA) molecules are approximately 80 nucleotides in length. Their secondary structure includes four short double-helical elements and three loops (D, anti-codon, and T loops). Lineage: Bacteria; Pseudomonadati; Pseudomonadota; Gammaproteobacteria; Alteromonadales; Moritellaceae. RNAcentral also lists the same sequence under 2 other names. The record is from RNAcentral.
GCGGGCAUCGUAUAAUGGCAAUACGUUAGCUUACCCAGUUAAAGACGCUCGGUUCGAAUCCAGGCUGCCUGCUCCA